GCGCAGACCGGCUGCGCAGCAGGCGUGUGCGUUGUCUAGAUUCUUUGUGCCAUUCCUGGCAUACCAAAAACAAGAGUGGUGACUGCGCUCGUAUUUACCGGGGUGCAGCCUUGCGCGCUAAUAUUACUGUGCGAAUUUUACCCGUGGUGUAAAGGCUCCGCGCGCGCGCGACGCCACGUCAGCUCGCCCAGUGGUGCACCCACGUCGCUGUCAUCCUGACCUGCCCGAGAAAUCCUCAUGAAAGACUGGGAACUCAGUACUCAGAAUAGCAUCGAUACUGUCUCCCGGUUGCCGAACGAAUCUCCAGAGCCGACCGAAAUCCAUCCUGUAUCGAAAGAUCGAUUUAACCA
Eufriesea mexicana is the source of this 350-nucleotide long non-coding RNA. RefSeq lists it as uncharacterized. The record is from RefSeq and is a predicted model, not a curated record. NCBI's taxonomy places the organism in Eukaryota, Metazoa, Arthropoda, Insecta, Hymenoptera, Apidae. The transcript is spliced from 3 exons.